Molecule: ribosomal RNA, 2758 nt
Filed under: Klebsiella pneumoniae
Lineage: Bacteria; Pseudomonadati; Pseudomonadota; Gammaproteobacteria; Enterobacterales; Enterobacteriaceae
Description: bacterial LSU rRNA
Rfam family: Bacterial large subunit ribosomal RNA
Source: RNAcentral
CACUAUCGUUAACUGAAUACAUAGGUUAACGAGGCGAACCGGGGGAACUGAAACAUCUAAGUACCCCGAGGAAAAGAAAUCAACCGAGAUUCCCCCAGUAGCGGCGAGCGAACGGGGAGCAGCCCAGAGUCUGAAUCAGCUUGUGUGUUAGUGGAACGGUCUGGAAAGUCCGACGGUACAGGGUGAUAGUCCCGUACACCAAAAUGCACAGGCUGUGAACUCGAAGAGUAGGGCGGGACACGUGGUAUCCUGUCUGAAUAUGGGGGGACCAUCCUCCAAGGCUAAAUACUCCUGACUGACCGAUAGUGAACCAGUACCGUGAGGGAAAGGCGAAAAGAACCCCGGCGAGGGGAGUGAAAAAGAACCUGAAACCGUGUACGUACAAGCAGUGGGAGCACCUUCGGGUGUGACUGCGUACCUUUUGUAUAAUGGGUCAGCGACUUAUAUUCUGUAGCAAGGUUAACCGUAUAGGGGAGCCGCAGGGAAACCGAGUCUUAACUGGGCGUUAAGUUGCAGGGUAUAGACCCGAAACCCGGUGAUCUAGCCAUGGGCAGGUUGAAGGUUGGGUAACACUAACUGGAGGACCGAACCGACUAAUGUUGAAAAAUUAGCGGAUGACUUGUGGCUGGGGGUGAAAGGCCAAUCAAACCGGGAGAUAGCUGGUUCUCCCCGAAAGCUAUUUAGGUAGCGCCUCGUGAACUCAUCUUCGGGGGUAGAGCACUGUUUCGGCUAGGGGGUCAUCCCGACUUACCAACCCGAUGCAAACUACGAAUACCGAAGAAUGUUAUCACGGGAGACACACGGCGGGUGCUAACGUCCGUCGUGAAGAGGGAAACAACCCAGACCGCCAGCUAAGGUCCCAAAGUCAUGGUUAAGUGGGAAACGAUGUGGGAAGGCACAGACAGCCAGGAUGUUGGCUUAGAAGCAGCCAUCAUUUAAAGAAAGCGUAAUAGCUCACUGGUCGAGUCGGCCUGCGCGGAAGAUGUAACGGGGCUAAACCAUGCACCGAAGCUGCGGCAGCGACACUAUGUGUUGUUGGGUAGGGGAGCGUUCUGUAAGCCUGCGAAGGUGUGCUGUGAGGCAUGCUGGAGGUAUCAGAAGUGCGAAUGCUGACAUAAGUAACGAUAAAGCGGGUGAAAAGCCCGCUCGCCGGAAGACCAAGGGUUCCUGUCCAACGUUAAUCGGGGCAGGGUGAGUCGACCCCUAAGGCGAGGCCGAAAGGCGUAGUCGAUGGGAAACAGGUUAAUAUUCCUGUACUUGGUGUUACUGCGAAGGGGGGACGGAGAAGGCUAUGUUAGCCGGGCGACGGUUGUCCCGGUUUAAGCAUGUAGGCUGGUUAUCCAGGCAAAUCCGGAUAAUCAAGGCUGAGGUGUGAUGACGAGGCACUACGGUGCUGAAGUAACAAAUGCCCUGCUUCCAGGAAAAGCCUCUAAGCAUCAGGUAACAUCAAAUCGUACCCCAAACCGACACAGGUGGUCAGGUAGAGAAUACCAAGGCGCUUGAGAGAACUCGGGUGAAGGAACUAGGCAAAAUGGUGCCGUAACUUCGGGAGAAGGCACGCUGGUGUGUAGGUGAAGUCCCUGCGGAUGGAGCUGAGACCAGUCGAAGAUACCAGCUGGCUGCAACUGUUUAUUAAAAACACAGCACUGUGCAAACACGAAAGUGGACGUAUACGGUGUGACGCCUGCCCGGUGCCGGAAGGUUAAUUGAUGGGGUUAUCCGUAAGGAGAAGCUCUUGAUCGAAGCCCCGGUAAACGGCGGCCGUAACUAUAACGGUCCUAAGGUAGCGAAAUUCCUUGUCGGGUAAGUUCCGACCUGCACGAAUGGCGUAAUGAUGGCCAGGCUGUCUCCACCCGAGACUCAGUGAAAUUGAACUCGCUGUGAAGAUGCAGUGUACCCGCGGCAAGACGGAAAGACCCCGUGAACCUUUACUAUAGCUUGACACUGAACAUUGAGCCUUGAUGUGUAGGAUAGGUGGGAGGCUUUGAAGCGUGGACGCCAGUCUGCGUGGAGCCAACCUUGAAAUACCACCCUUUAAUGUUUGAUGUUCUAACGUUGGCCCCUGACCGGGGUUGCGGACAGUGUCUGGUGGGUAGUUUGACUGGGGCGGUCUCCUCCCAAAGCGUAACGGAGGAGCACGAAGGUUAGCUAAUCCUGGUCGGACAUCAGGAGGUUAGUGCAAUGGCAUAAGCUAGCUUGACUGCGAGCGUGACGGCGCGAGCAGGUGCGAAAGCAGGUCAUAGUGAUCCGGUGGUUCUGAAUGGAAGGGCCAUCGCUCAACGGAUAAAAGGUACUCCGGGGAUAACAGGCUGAUACCGCCCAAGAGUUCAUAUCGACGGCGGUGUUUGGCACCUCGAUGUCGGCUCAUCACAUCCUGGGGCUGAAGUAGGUCCCAAGGGUAUGGCUGUUCGCCAUUUAAAGUGGUACGCGAGCUGGGUUUAGAACGUCGUGAGACAGUUCGGUCCCUAUCUGCCGUGGGCGCUGGAGAAUUGAGGGGGGCUGCUCCUAGUACGAGAGGACCGGAGUGGACGCAUCACUGGUGUUCGGGUUGUCAUGCCAAUGGCACUGCCCGGUAGCUAAAUGCGGAAGAGAUAAGUGCUGAAAGCAUCUAAGCACGAAACUUGCCCCGAGAUGAGUUCUCCCUGAGACUUUAAGUCUCCUGAAGGAACGUUAAAGACGAUGACGUUGAUAGGCCGGGUGUGUAAGCGCAGCGAUGCGUUGAGCUAACCGGUACUAAUGAACCGUGAGGCUUAACCUU